This 213-nucleotide RNase P RNA is filed under the name Enterobacter sichuanensis. Its description in RNAcentral is "partial RNase P RNA component class A". It matches the Rfam family "Bacterial RNase P class A", at positions 1 to 190 of the family's 367-position model. Rfam says of the family: Ribonuclease P (RNase P) is a ubiquitous endoribonuclease, found in archaea, bacteria and eukarya as well as chloroplasts and mitochondria. Its best characterised activity is the generation of mature 5'-ends of tRNAs by cleaving the 5'-leader elements of precursor-tRNAs. The record is from RNAcentral. Lineage: Bacteria; Pseudomonadati; Pseudomonadota; Gammaproteobacteria; Enterobacterales; Enterobacteriaceae.
GAAGCUGACCAGACAGUCGCCGCUUCGUCGUCGUCCCCUUCGGGGGAGACGGGCGGAGGGGAGGAAAGUCCGGGCUCCAUAGGGCAGGGUGCCAGGUAACGCCUGGGGGGGAAACCCACGACCAGUGCAACAGAGAGCAAACCGCCGAUGGCCCGCGCAAGCGGGAUCAGGUAAGGGUGAAAGGGUGCGGUAAGAGCGCACCGCGCGGCUGGU